AAUCAACGCUGGCGGCGCGCUUAACACAUGCAAGUCGAGCGAGAAAGGGAGCAAUCCCUGAGUACAGCGGCGUACGGGUGAGUAACACGUGGGUGAUCUACCUUCUAGUGUGGAAUAACCCUGGGAAACCGGGCGUAAUACCGCAUAAGCCUGUGAAGGGAAAGACAGCAAUGCGCUGGAAGAGGAGCCCGCGGCCGAUUAGCUAGUUGGUGAGGUAACGGCCCACCAAGGCGAUGAUCGGUAGCCGGCCUGAGAGGGCACACGGCCACACUGGCACUGAAACACGGGCCAGACUCCUACGGGAGGCAGCAGUGGGAAUCUUGCACAAUGGAGGCAACUCUGAUGCAGCGACGCCGCGUGAGCGAUGAAGCCCUUCGGGGGUGUAAAGGCUCUUUCGGC
Molecule: ribosomal RNA, 399 nt
Filed under: uncultured bacterium
Lineage: Bacteria
Description: bacterial SSU rRNA
Rfam family: Bacterial small subunit ribosomal RNA
Source: RNAcentral